Molecule: ribosomal RNA, 253 nt
Filed under: uncultured bacterium
Lineage: Bacteria
Description: partial 16S ribosomal RNA
Rfam family: Bacterial small subunit ribosomal RNA
Source: RNAcentral
UACGAAGGGGGCUAGCGUUGCUCGGAAUUACUGGGCGUAAAGCGCACGUAGGCGGCUUCUUAAGUCGGUGGUGAAAUCCUGGAGCUCAACUCCAGAACUGCCUUCGAUACUGGGAAGCUCGAGUCCGGGAGAGGUGAGUGGAACUGCGAGUGUAGAGGUGAAAUUCGUAGAUAUUCGCAAGAACACCAGUGGCGAAGGCGGCUCACUGGCCCGGUACUGACGCUGAGGCGCGAAAGCGUGGGGAGCAAACAGG